AAGUCGUAACAAGGUUUCCGUAGGUGAACCUGCGGAAGGAUCAUUAUUGAAUGAACUUGGCGUGGUUGUUGCUGGUCCUCUUGGGGGCAUGUGCACACCCGUCAUCUUUAUCUUUCCACCUGUGCACAUUUUGUAGGUCUAAAAUUUUUCCGAGGCAACUCGUUUAGAGGGAUUGCUGUGCAUCACUGUCGGCUUCCCUUGCAUGUCCAGGCCUAUGUUUUCAUAUACCCCAAAAAAUGUAACAGAAUGUAUCAUUGGGCCUUGUGCCUAUAAACUAUAUACAA
Molecule: unclassified non-coding RNA, 284 nt
Filed under: plant metagenome
Description: partial contains small subunit ribosomal RNA and internal transcribed spacer 1
Rfam family: Eukaryotic small subunit ribosomal RNA (bases 1-46)
Source: RNAcentral